This 212-nucleotide long non-coding RNA is filed under the name Salvia miltiorrhiza (redroot sage). RNAcentral describes it as "long non-coding RNA (SMIL_LNC014443)". The record is from RNAcentral. Lineage: Eukaryota; Viridiplantae; Streptophyta; Magnoliopsida; Lamiales; Lamiaceae.
CGCCAUCAAUUUCAUAUAUAUAUAAGGUGAAAGUUGACUGAUUUUCACUGGGUGAUGAAUUUCGCGACUAUUUCUUUAAUUUCUAGAUUUGUUUGUUGCUAAACCAACCCGGAGUUGAGAAGUGAAGCUCAUUCCCCCAAUGUCGUUGACGUAUUUCAAGACCAUGAUCUUUUCUCUCCUCCAAAUUCUCGCAAGUAGGAUUGUUUUCUCAC